Molecule: long non-coding RNA, 2705 nt
Filed under: Podarcis lilfordi (Lilford's wall lizard)
Lineage: Eukaryota; Metazoa; Chordata; Lepidosauria; Squamata; Lacertidae
Source: RNAcentral
AUUCCAGUAGCCGCAAUAGCCUACCGGAUGCCUCCAGGAAGCUUGCAGUUGGGUUAUGAAAAGAAACAGUUCUACCCUGCUGCUAUUCCCCGGUAACAGGUAUUCAGAGCAGUGCCAGAUUUACGUAUAAGCUAAACAAGCUAUAGUUUAGGGCCCCACUCUAUUGGGGGCCCCCAAAAAAAUUUAAAGCAAAAAACAACAACUGGAUGUACAUUUCCAAAAUAUAAGAUAAAAAACAAAUAAAAUGGCUUUAGAUACCUAUUAGGUCCAUAAAUUACCAUUUGGCAUAUAUUAAACACAAAAAACAGCGACAAUUUGCUGUUGACAAAGGACAGCUGGACAUCUAAAGGGCCCCAUUACCUUCAGUAGCUUAGGACCUCAUCAAACCUAAAGCAGGGCCUUAUUCAGAGGCAUACUGUACUGACAUCUGUAUGGGAAUUGUUUUUAAUUGUUUUAUCUCUUGUGCAUGUGCCACCUGGGCUUCUUUGGGAGGAAGGGUGGAAUGAAUCAACAACAACAACAACAACAGUUGUUGUUGUUGGCACCUGACCAUCUCAAGAGACAAUGGAGUGCAUUCGCAGCACUGAAGAGACCUCCCAGGGGUGCAAGCCUGGGCAAUGUGUUUGGAGGUCCUGGGCUGCCCUCUCAGCCUCAUCGUCCAAAGGAAAGGAGUACAAUAUGUUUAGUGCCACCUUUGCUACAGGAGUUGCCAGAAGGAGGCAUACAAGGCACAAUCCAACCGUCUUAGGGACUCCACUCCAAAUUUGUGUAGGCUUUGCUUGUUAGCCUUUUCUUCUCCUAAAGAUAUCCAACAAGGCAGCAGAGGUUUAGGGUCAGUUUUCCUUCUACAUGGGCUACCUUCAGGUUGACGAUACCCAUCUGCCCAUCACUUGCCUCUACAGCACAAGUAGAAACUGCCUUCUUGACCAUUGGACCACCUAUUGGUCACAUCCGCUCAGUCCACCAUUGCCUGUCUUCACAUGCAGGAGAAGUCCCUAACUCAUAAAAAUAGGAAUAAUCAAUCAAGUAUGUAUGUAUGUAUGUAUGUAUGUAUGUAUUGAUGCUUUUGAAUUAUGGUGCUGGAGGAGACUCUUGAGAGUCCCAUGGACUGCAAGAAGAUCAAACCUAUCCAUUCUUAAGAAAAUCAGCCCUGAGUGCUCACUGGAAGGACAGAUCCUGAAGCUGAGGCUCCAAUACUUUGGCUACCUCAUGAGAAGAGAAGACUCCCUGGAAAAGACCCUGAUGUUGGGAAAGAUGGAGGGCACAAGGAGAAGGGGAUGACAGAGGACGAGAUGGUUGGACAGUGUUCUCGAAGCUACCAGCAUGAGUUUGACCAAACUACGGGAGGCAGUGGAAGACAGGAGUGCCUGGUGUGCUCUGGUCCAUGGGGUCACGAAGAGUCGGACACGACUAAAUGACUAAACAACAACAAUGUAUGUAUGCAUGCAUGCAUGUAUGUAUGUAUGUAUGUAUUAAAUCUGUAUACCGCCCUUCAUCCAAAGAUCACAGGGUGGUUUACAGCAAAUGAUGAUGUUCCAUAUAGCCAUCCUGACUUAACAGCCAUUGAUAACAAAUUGCAUUCUCUUAAAUGGCAUUGUAAUUUCUACGCCAUGUUGGAGGCACUGUGCCUCUGAAUAGCAGUUGUCGGGCAGUAAGAGUGGGAGAGGGCUAUUGCAUUCAUGUUCUAGCCUGCAGGCUUCCCAUAGGCAUCUGGCUGGCUGCUAGGAAAACAGGACGCAGAAUUAGAUGGGCCUUUGGCCUGAUCUACCAGACCUGCGGCUUUACUGAAAUUUCUCCAAAUCCAAUGGAAGCAAGGGAGGGAAUCUGAGGGCCAUGUUGCGUUUCAGGGGUCAGACUGUGCAAUGGCUUUACCCAUACAGAUUUAGUGACCAUGGCUCUGAGUUAGCAUAAUUACAACCAUCUAUCCCUACAUUGAUAGCAUCCUGUUUGGCAUUAUGAACGUUAGGUUAUGUAACUUGCUGGUGUUACUUGUGGUUGGAUGAUUACAUGUCACAUGUUCCCUUUUAGCCAGAACUUCUGAAGCAAAUUAAACAGCCACAUGGCCAACAUAAACCAUGCUAGAACCUUAGUCGCUUCAUUGACUUUUCUUUCCUUCUUUCAGCGCAGUUCCCACCAUGUGCUUCCUGGAUGAAUAAUAUUAUACUCCAAUUUAAUUCAUAAAUGUUGAAGGCACCACUUGUUUCAGCUGUAAGAUCUGAUUGGAGAAGACGGAAUGCAAGCUUAACUGCUGAGUGCUUGGCAAUUUGUAAAAGACCAAAUCUUAAAAACUCAGCUACAUGGAAAUUAAUCCCUUUGAUCGUAGGGGAGCUUAAUUGUAAGAGAGAAUGCUUAGGACUGCAGCUCAGAACCAUCUAUUUAUGAGUGAAGCCUGGAAUGUAUUGUAAUAAUUAUCCAACAACUGCUCCAACCAAUAGGUAACACUGUUUCAUGUCCUUUGUGCUUAACUAAAGUUCUGUGUCUCGCCUUGCUAUUGUUCUGUCUUGUGGUUUUCUCUUGGAGAUGUUCCUGGAAUGAUUAGAUCUACGCUGGAGACUGAGUUUGCAGAUCUCUAAUAAAAGUUGUUCUUCUAAACAAGUUUUGCAAUAUCUCUGACAAAGAUCAUGUGUUUUGCGAUCAGCAACUGAAAAUGUUUUGCUGAGCCUUUCUAAUAUACCAGUACAUAUUUAUUUACUGCAACAUAAUAC